GACGAACGCUGGCGGCGUGCUUAACACAUGCAAGUCGAACGAAGAGCGAUGGAAGCUUGCUUCUAUCAAUCUUAGUGGCGAACGGGUGAGUAACGCGUAAUCAACCUGCCCUUCAGAGGGGGACAACAGUUGGAAACGACUGCUAAUACCGCAUACGAUCUAACCUCGGCAUCGAGGAUAGAUGAAAGGUGGCCUCUACAUGUAAGCUAUCACUGAAGGAGGGGAUUGCGUCUGAUUAGCUAGUUGGAGGGGUAACGGCCCACCAAGGCGAUGAUCAGUAGCCGGGCUGAGAGGAUGAACGGCCACAUUGGGACUGAGACACGGCCCAGACUCCUACGGGAGGCAGCAGUGGGGAAUCUUCCGCAAUGGACGAAAGUCUGACGGAGCAACGCCGCGUGAGUGAUGACGGCCUUCGGGUUGUAAAGCUCUGUUAAUCGGGACGAAAGGCCUUCUUGCGAAUAGUGAGAAGGAUUGACGGUACCGGAAGAGAAAGCCACGGCUAACUACGUG
This 510-nucleotide ribosomal RNA is filed under the name uncultured bacterium. Its description in RNAcentral is "partial 16S ribosomal RNA". It matches the Rfam family "Bacterial small subunit ribosomal RNA", at positions 28 to 507 of the family's 1533-position model. The record is from RNAcentral.